This 253-nucleotide ribosomal RNA is filed under the name uncultured bacterium. RNAcentral's name for it is "partial 16S ribosomal RNA". It matches the Rfam family "Bacterial small subunit ribosomal RNA", at positions 524 to 776 of the family's 1533-position model. The record is from RNAcentral.
UACGUAGGGUGCAAGCGUUAAUCGGAAUUACUGGGCGUAAAGGGUGCGCAGGUGGUUCUGUAAGUCAGACGUGAAAUCCCCGGGCUUAACCUGGGAACUGCGUUUGAAACUACAGGACUAGAGUGUGGCAGAGGGAGGUGGAAUUCCAUGUGUAGCAGUGAAAUGCGUAGAGAUAUGGAAGAACAUCGAUGGCGAAGGCAACCUCCUGGGUUAACACUGACGCUCAUGCACGAAAGCGUGGGGAGCAAACAGG